Molecule: ribosomal RNA, 227 nt
Filed under: uncultured bacterium
Lineage: Bacteria
Description: partial 16S ribosomal RNA
Rfam family: Bacterial small subunit ribosomal RNA
Source: RNAcentral
UGAGUAACACGUAUCCAACCUGCCGUCUACUCUUGGACAGCCUUCUGAAAGGAAGAUUAAUACAAGAUGGCAUCAUGAGUCCGCAUGUUCACAUGAUUAAAGGUAUUCCGGUAGACGAUGGAGAUGCGUUCCAUUAGAUAGUAGGCGGGGUAACGGCCCACCUAGUCUUCGAUGGAUAGGGGUUCUGAGAGGAAGGUCCCCCACAUUGGAACUGAGACACGGUCCAA